RNAcentral lists this long non-coding RNA (937 nucleotides) under Triticum aestivum (bread wheat). RNAcentral describes it as "long non-coding RNA (TAES_LNC002249)". The record is from RNAcentral. Lineage: Eukaryota; Viridiplantae; Streptophyta; Magnoliopsida; Poales; Poaceae.
UUCCUACACAUUUUUUUACUUUGUUCUCGCGUGUUCUCAACAAAUAUGAUACUGUUCUAAAAAAAUAUGAUACUGAAUUGCUACAAUAAUACAAUGUUGCUACAAUGAAAAUUAACUAAAUAACUUAGCCGUAAGAAAAAAUCUUAGCAAAUCUGUUUUCUUUGAACAUGCCCAUCUAUUUCUCAUAAGCAACAUUGUCAUCUCCCAAUCUUACAAGUUCCGGAGGAUGCGUGUAAAGGCUAAAGAGUGUAGUGCCGGUGGGUUACUGAUUGCUGUUGCGGUCCUUGGUCUGCUCGUGUUGGAAAUGCUCAGGAAGAAAUCUUACAUGACCUUCACAGACGAACUUCAGACAUACUGCCAAUGAUAACAGCAACCCCAAAUGAAGUUACCUUUGAGGCAUGGCAGCAUAACAAUUUCAUAUGAGCAAACUGUCCACAUUGGCAGUCAAAUUUUUACCUCGUAAAUCGCUAUGCUCUGCCUCUCGCUCUUCUCUGCCUGGUUGUGCGUCGCAUUGCAAAACUUGUUUUCUUGUUGAUCUCUGCAACAUGGUAAGCCCCUGCCUCAUAUAGGACCUGGCCGAAGCUGAACUGUUCAAAUAUAUAGCACGUGCACACAUCUUACUUGCGUGUUACUCGAUAGUUAGGUUGGCAUGACAUCCCUUAUGGCCAUGAACCAAUUCUGAUCUUCAUCAAGACCAAAGUAAAUUAGUGGAUAGUGGUGCAGAGAAUUCAAAGAACAGGACCGCGUGUAUUGGACUCUAAAACACAUUUAUAAAAUACUCACAUUCAAGGUCGGACUUUGCCUGAGCCUUGAUUUCAGACAGCUCGGCCCUGAGGUGCUCCCCCUGCUGCGAAGCAAAGCAUGUCUGUCUGGGUUUACAACCAAAGCACUAGCAUUGCUUGCAGCAGCUCCCUGAGUGUUGUUGCUUCCCACAAGC